Long non-coding RNA from Talpa occidentalis (Iberian mole), 682 nucleotides. RefSeq lists it as uncharacterized. The record is from RefSeq and is a predicted model, not a curated record. NCBI's taxonomy places the organism in Eukaryota, Metazoa, Chordata, Mammalia, Eulipotyphla, Talpidae. The transcript has 3 exons.
AACAUGGAGGCAGCUGUUCAGUCCUGAUGCUCAGAGAAAUGGGACUGAGAGGAGACACAUCCACAAAGGCACACCUUGAAGAUGCUGAGGACUCUGUUCCAGACCACCACGUACAGCAAAUAUCGCAAUAAAGGCAUGUGUAUUAUUUAGUCUCUCCAACAACUUCAUUACUCCAUUUUUCAUAUGCUCUCUAUGAAGGUCCAAAGACUAAGAAGACCCAUCUGUGAUACAUCACUUCUCCUUGGUCAAAUACUACCCAGCAAAGUUUGAAGAAGAGUUUGACAAAGUCUAUAAGUCAAACAACCAGAGCUUGAGCAGAAGCAAUUGACUUUAAGCCAAAUUCCAUGCCAUCCACAGAACUAAGAGAAAAGGGAAUGCCAAAACUUUAUUCAGAAGUAAGAGACUCAUCAACAACUGCCUGGACCAUAUUCAGAAGACAGGGGUCCAUCAACGAAAUCCCAAGAAUCUGGUUAUUUGAAAAAAGAAUUCUCCAUGUAUGAGCCAAUUUGUAACUAGCCAUUCGGAUUUUGCUAAGCCCAUAACUGACAUUCUGAACGUUUUUUUCCCUCCUUUCCCUGUUUCUAUAAAACCAGUACAAGCCCCUAUAUCGGGGAGAUGUGUUUGAGCUUUUUCUCCUGUCUCCUUACUGGUUGACCUUGCAAUAAACUCUUUCUCCCCUCAA